This 422-nucleotide ribosomal RNA is filed under the name uncultured bacterium. RNAcentral describes it as "bacterial SSU rRNA". It matches the Rfam family "Bacterial small subunit ribosomal RNA", at positions 355 to 774 of the family's 1533-position model. The record is from RNAcentral.
UAAGGAAUAUUGGUCAAUGGAGGGAACUCUGAACCAGCCAUGCCGCGUGCAGGAAGACGGCUCUCUGGGUUGUAAACUGCUUUUAUUCGGGAAUAAACCACAUUACGUGUAGUGUGCUGAAUGUACCGAAGGAAUAAGGGUCGGCUAACUCCGUGCCAGCAGCCGCGGUAAUACGGAGGAUCCAAGUGUUAUCCGGAUUUAUUGGGUUUAAAGGGUGCGUAGGCGUCUUAUUAAGUCAGGGGUGAAAGACGGUGGCUCAACCAUCGCAGUGCCCUUGAUACCGAUGAGGUUGAAUGAACUGGAGGUAGGCGGAAUGUGAGAAGUGGCGGUGAAAUGCAUAGAUAUGUCACAGAACACCGAUUGCGAAGGCAGCUUACUAUGGUUUUAUUGACGCUGAGGCACGAAGGCGUGGGAAUCAAACA